RNAcentral lists this ribosomal RNA (255 nucleotides) under uncultured bacterium. Its description in RNAcentral is "partial 16S ribosomal RNA". It matches the Rfam family "Bacterial small subunit ribosomal RNA", at positions 524 to 776 of the family's 1533-position model. The record is from RNAcentral.
UACGAGAGGGGCAAGCGUUAUUCAGAAUGAUUGGGCGUAAAGCGCACGUAGGCUGUUUAGAAAAUCUCCAAAAAAAAAUUGUAAAGUUUGACUUUAAGAGUUCUCUGGAGAGUCCUAAACUAGAGUGAGUGAGAGGAGAAUGGAAUUCCUGGCGUAGAGGUAAAAUUUGUUGAUAUCAGGAGGAACACCAAAAGCGAAGGCAAUUCUCUGGUGCUCUACUGACGUUGAGGUGCGACAGCGUGGGGAUCAAAAGGG